RNAcentral lists this ribosomal RNA (503 nucleotides) under uncultured bacterium. RNAcentral's name for it is "bacterial SSU rRNA". It matches the Rfam family "Bacterial small subunit ribosomal RNA", at positions 8 to 526 of the family's 1533-position model. The record is from RNAcentral.
AGAGUUUGAUCCUGGCUCAGAAUCAACGCUGGCGGCGUGCCUCAGACAUGCAAGUCGAACGAUUAAAGCCCUCUUCGAGGGUGCAUAAAGUGGCGCACGGGUGAGUAACACGUAAGUAAUCUACCUUCGAGUGGGGAAUAACGUUCGGAAACGAACGCUAAUACCGCAUAAUGCAGCGGCAUCGCAAGAUGACAGUUGUUAAAGAUUUAUCGCUUGAAGAGGAGCUUGCGGCAGAUUAGCUAGUUGGUAAGGUAACGGCUUACCAAGGCGACGAUCUGUAUCCGGUCUAAGGGGACGGUCGGACACACUGACACUGAAUAACGGGUCAGACUCCUACGGGAGGCAGCAGUCGGGAAUUUUGGGCAAUGGGCGAAAGCCUGACCCAGCAACGCCGCGUGAAGGAUGAAGUCUUUCGGGAUGUAAACUUCGUAAGAAUAGGAAGAAUAAAUGACGGUACUAUUUGUAAGGUCCGGCUAACUACGUGCCAGCAGCCGCGGUAAUAC